GUGUUCUCUUCUGAGCGUGAAGCCGGUUUGUGACACUGCUUGUUAGCGGUUGUUACAUGUCAUUGAUGAUCGUUCUUCUCUUCCUUCUGGAGGGGCAAGAGGGAGAGAACACAGGCUGA
Molecule: small nucleolar RNA, 119 nt
Filed under: Vombatus ursinus (common wombat)
Lineage: Eukaryota; Metazoa; Chordata; Mammalia; Diprotodontia; Vombatidae
Description: Small nucleolar RNA U3 (ENSVURG00010012800.1)
Rfam family: Small nucleolar RNA U3
About the family: Small nucleolar RNAs (snoRNAs) are involved in the processing and modification of rRNA in the nucleolus. There are two main classes of snoRNAs: the box C/D class, and the box H/ACA class.
Source: Rfam by way of RNAcentral